GAAACCAGUUAGCCUCUGCUGUUUCGGUUUCUCCGUGCACACGCCAGGGACCGCCCAGGCACCCACCUCAUGCGGGCGCUCAGAGGAUGAAGCGCGUAAUUCACACGGCCUGGGGGGUAGUGGUUGAGAACGGGGACUGGAGCCAGCUAGCCAAGGCAUGACAUCCCCAUGACCAGUGGCUGUCCCUGCGACCUCAGGCACCCCCCUCAACCUCUCGGAGCUUCUGAGUUUUCAUCUUCGAUAUGGAGACAGAGUGUCCAUCUCAUGGGGUCUUUGGGAGGGUGGUACCUAAUGCCAAGAACGGCUCACAGGCUGCUGCUGUUCCAGACAUUUCCAUGAACACACACUGGGAUCCACACGCUUCUCUGUCUGCCUCUUUAGUCUUAGUGGCUAAGGGUCAUUCCAAGGACACUCACCUCCCCGGCUUCCUUCCGUCUUCAACCUUCAAUCAACCAAAUCUGCUUUGCCCUCUCACCCUGUGCAUCAAGGGAACAUUUUCAGUCCAGUUUGGCCAUUGUGGAUAAUUUUCUGCUUAAACCCUGCCUCUGUUAAUCCAGACGCUCCAGAUUAUAUAUAAAAAUAAAAAUAUAGAGGUGUG
Long non-coding RNA from Leopardus geoffroyi (Geoffroy's cat), 598 nucleotides. RefSeq lists it as uncharacterized. Lineage: Eukaryota; Metazoa; Chordata; Mammalia; Carnivora; Felidae. The transcript is spliced from 2 exons. The record is from RefSeq and is a predicted model, not a curated record.